RNAcentral lists this ribosomal RNA (461 nucleotides) under uncultured bacterium. RNAcentral's name for it is "partial 16S ribosomal RNA". It matches the Rfam family "Bacterial small subunit ribosomal RNA", at positions 338 to 795 of the family's 1533-position model. The record is from RNAcentral.
CCUACGGGUGGCAGCAGUGAGGAAUAUUGGUCAAUGGGCGGAAGCCUGAACCAGCCAAGUCGCGUGAGGGAAUAAGGCCCUACGGGUCGUAAACCUCUUUUGCCGGGGAGCAAGGGCGGGGACGUGUCCCGGCCCGGAGAGUACCCGGAGAAAAAGCAUCGGCUAACUCCGUGCCAGCAGCCGCGGUAAUACGGAGGAUGCGAGCGUUAUCCGGAUUUAUUGGGUUUAAAGGGUGCGUAGGUGGAUUGUUAAGUCAGUUGUGAAAGUUUGCGGCUCAACCGUAAAAUUGCAGUUGAAACUGGCAGUCUUGAGUACAGUAGAGGUGGGCGGAAUUCGUGGUGUAGCGGUGAAAUGCUUAGAUAUCACGAAGAACUCCGAUUGCGAAGGCAGUUCACUGGACUGCAACUGACACUGAGGCUCGAAAGUGUGGGUAUCAAACAGGAUUAGAUACCCCAGUAGUC